GGCGCGUGCUGGAGCCGAGCACCCUUGGGUUGCCACCUGCGGGGCCCGGCUGGCCUGGUUCGGGGCGCGAACCCGCGAGGAGCGAGCGGCGGGCGCGGCGGCGGCGACGACGGCGGCUGGAGGAGGGGCCCAGAGCCCAGAGCCGUGCCAAAGGACACCCCGUCCUCCAAAUGCUGCCACUUGAGUGAGGCGCGCGAGAAGGCGGCGCCGCUGGCCUUGCAGCCGGACUGCUCUGCGCUCCGCACCCCGCCGCCCUGACGCCAACCAGCGCCCCCCGGGCGGCGGCUUCGGGGACCGAGCAGCGCACGCAGCCGGCCAAUGCUGGAUGCCUCCCCGGCCCCGCGGCCGUCCCGAGGGGCGUUGGGCACCAGCCGCCCCGGCGAUGUGCUGUGAUAGGCGCAGAUGAGCCGCAGCCAGUGCGACAAAGAACCUGCUGAUGGCAACUGUAAACGAAGAUUCUCACAGGAAGCGUGCAGGUUCCUCACUUACACAGACUCACGUAACCCCGCAAAAGUGCUUCCCUGCUCCCUUCUCCAGUUAAAGGUCUCCUGUGUGCUCUUACCUUUCAGUUACAAGUCUUUGAUCCCAGAGUGCUCCAUUUUCAGUUGCCUUAUCUGUCCUUUGCUAACCACCUAUGGUCAUUAGCACUCAAAGCACAAUUUGGAAGGGGAUAAAAAUGAUCCUAGUUCCAAAGGAAUAAUUUGUGUCAAAUUGCCUUAUUAGUAUUAAAAAUAGACAUACUGCUGAAUGAAUGAGCUAGCAUGACACAUGUAUCCUACUUAAUAUCAUUGCCAUUUUAUGAGAUGAGGGAACUAUACUUUUUUAUUGUAUAGUUUUAGGAAUCAAGUAAAUUCAAGGAAUAGUAGUUAAAAAACAAAGUUCCAACAAAUCUAUUGUUUGCUUAAUCAUAAGGCCCUCACUAUGUAUCUGUGUGGCCAAAUAGAACAUAUCUUCCUUGGGCAAGUGGGCACAAGCUCAGAUGUACUCCCUAUCUCUUACUUUGCAAAACUCACAUUUUGUUAGCUAAUUCUCUUCCUGUAAGACUUAGCUAUGAAAUGGUAUAUUUUUUCCAAAUAUUUUUGAGAAAACAUUUUUUUCUAACUGUACAAUAAAAGUCUAGUUGCAAUUAACUAGCUAUGAGUUCUUAUUAAAGCAAAUGCCUUUCAACAUUGUAUACUGUCAAAUUUUUUGACAUAAAGAACUUAACAUUUUAUGCAUGUCUAAUGAAUACAAAGUGAAUAAAAAUACAAAUAAUUUCUUGGAUCAUUCAGGUCCAAUUUAAGAGCUUUAAGAAUAUAAAUGUAAACAUGUCCAUUA
This is a long non-coding RNA of Neofelis nebulosa (Clouded leopard), 1317 nucleotides long. RefSeq lists it as uncharacterized. The transcript is spliced from 2 exons. Lineage: Eukaryota; Metazoa; Chordata; Mammalia; Carnivora; Felidae. The record is from RefSeq and is a predicted model, not a curated record.